GACGAAGGAUGCAAGCGUUAUCCGGAUUCAUUGGGUUUAAAGGGAGCGUAGGUGGCCUUAUAAGUCAGUGGUGAAAUCUCUCAGCUUAACUGAGAAAUUGCCAUUGAUACUGUAGGGCUUGAGUACAGAUGCCGUUGGCGGAAUAUGACAUGUAGUGGUGAAAUACAUAGAGAUGUCAUAGAACACCGAUUGCGAAGGCAGCUGACGAAACUGUAACUGACACUGAGGCUCGAAAGUGCGGGGAUCAAACAGG
Molecule: ribosomal RNA, 253 nt
Filed under: uncultured bacterium
Lineage: Bacteria
Description: partial 16S ribosomal RNA
Rfam family: Bacterial small subunit ribosomal RNA
Source: RNAcentral